RNAcentral lists this non-coding RNA (22 nucleotides) under Arabidopsis thaliana (thale cress). Lineage: Eukaryota; Viridiplantae; Streptophyta; Magnoliopsida; Brassicales; Brassicaceae. The record is from RNAcentral.
UAGAGCAACGGUGUCGAUCGAC